CCAGAAUUGCAAGAAACAGUUAUAUCACGCACUCGUUCAUUAGUAGUAGAAUCAUCAUCAACCCAAAUAGCAGCUACUUGAGAUGCACAUGGUGUGUUAUAUACUCUUUGAUCUAAUCCACAAUCAGAUCUAAUUUUAAGACUAUGAGAUUUCAAAUUUGGAAUAUUUGUUAAAGUUCGAAAAAAAAUUGCGUAUGGAUUCAGUUCCAUCACUUUGACAAGCUUUGAAAGUAUACAUUUUGUUAACUUUUCAGAAAGUUGUAGUCGAUGCUCUAUUUCAUUUUCAGUGUCAAAAAAAUAGAGCUGCAUAUAAGAAGGGCGACCGUUUUGUACAAGAAUGUCAUUUAUAAAAUGAUAUAUUUGACCUUGAAUUCUAAAGGUAUAGAUUCCUUUGUUUCUUUUGCACAAAUCUUUAUCAUAAUGCACACCAAAUGAAGUGAAUGAGAAAUUGCUAUUGUAAGUUCGUACGUAAGUUUUAAAUUCAAUGGAUUCAGCAGAAUUUGAUGUAAAUAAAUGAUGUAAUUCAUCUGGGGUAUCAUUCACUUUCAAUCUAACAGCUCCAUCACAACAACAAAAACCUUUCGAUUCAUCUUUAAAUUUUAGAGCCCCACAAUAUUCACAUAGCACAGGGCAAGGUAAUACAUGUGAUUUGUUUGGUAUCGAAAACGAACCUUCAUUUACUGUAAAUAUUGAUGGCAUUAGCUCUGAAUGAACACGAAGCUGAUGGGUAUAAGUCGCAAAACAGCUACCUAUCACGGAAACCACAUUAGAAUCUAAAAAAGACAUAUCCCUUUAAAAAAAUGUAAAACAUGGUUAUAAAUUCAAUUUUUAACAAAACAAAUAUAUCAAAUAAACUUAUUUCGUCCAACAUCAAUGUUACAAACUUCAUUACAACGAAGACUACUAAAUAUGAAAACAUUCCCUAUAUAAUUAUACAUAACACAAAUCAAACAUGACAAAGUAAUCAUAUUCAACUAUCUAAGGAAUACAUGAUCUUUUCACUGCUAAAAACAAUAUGUAAUUAAUACAAAUAAGUUAAAUAUCUUAUUACCUACUUGAUUGUCUUCAAUUUCAGAAUUAGGAAAGAGAGAAAUUG
This 1095-nucleotide long non-coding RNA is filed under the name Olea europaea subsp. europaea. Lineage: Eukaryota; Viridiplantae; Streptophyta; Magnoliopsida; Lamiales; Oleaceae. The record is from RNAcentral.